This 497-nucleotide ribosomal RNA is filed under the name uncultured bacterium. RNAcentral describes it as "partial 16S ribosomal RNA". It matches the Rfam family "Bacterial small subunit ribosomal RNA", at positions 28 to 507 of the family's 1533-position model. The record is from RNAcentral.
GAUGAACGCUGGCGGCGUGCCUAAUACAUGCAAGCCGAGCGAACGGACGAGAAGCUUGCUUCUCUGAUGUUAGCGGCGGACGGGUGAGUAACACGUGGAUAACCUACCUAUAAGACUGGGAUAACUUCGGGAAACCGGAGCUAAUACCGGAUAAUAUUUUGAACCGCAUGGUUCAAAAGUAAAAGACGGUCUUGCUGUCACUUAUAGAUGGAUCCGCGCUGCAUUAGCUAGUUGGUAAGGUAACGGCUUACCAAGGCAACGAUGCAUAGCCGACCUGAGAGGGUGAUCGGCCACACUGGAACUGAGACACGGUCCAGACUCCUACGGGAGGCAGCAGUAGGGAAUCUUCCGCAAUGGGCGAAAGCCUGACGGAGCAACGCCGCGUGAGUGAUGAAGGUCUUCGGAUCGUAAAACUCUGUUAUUAGGGAAGAACAUAUGUGUAAGUAACUGUGCACAUCUUGACGGUACCUAAUCAGAAAGCCACGGCUAACUACGUG